ACCUGCUUCGUCUUCCAAAUACAUCCCUCUCUCAACAUUGAAUACAUGUAGACCAAGAAAGCCGCCCCCAAUUAUACUCAUGGAUCUGCUCGAGAUCCAUGAAGUGUCGUAGGUAGAUGAAGUUGGUAUAAGUGGCACUCUGGUCCACAAAAAUAAUAGUGCCAACCAAAAAAAAGAAGGUAUGCUCUCAAUGCCCGCGAUCUAUGGAUUGCCACCUGCUCAUGAUCCAUAUAAGCCUGCUCUGCUCUCUGGAUCU
Molecule: long non-coding RNA, 256 nt
Filed under: Lathyrus oleraceus (garden pea)
Lineage: Eukaryota; Viridiplantae; Streptophyta; Magnoliopsida; Fabales; Fabaceae
Description: Pisum sativum (pea) long non-coding RNA (PSAT_LNC015063)
Source: RNAcentral